CGAAUUCGCCCUUUUCCGGUUGAUCCCGCCGGAGGCCAUUGCUAUCGGAGUCCGAUUUAGCCAUGCUAGUCGAGCGAGGUUAGCCCUCGCGGCGAACAGCUCAGUAACACGUGGCCAAGCUACCCUGCAGAGGGGGACAGCGUCGGGAAACUGACGGGAAUCCCCCAUACCGGUCUCACGCUGGAAUGCCGAGACCGACAAACGCUCCGGCGCUGCAGGAUGCGGCUGCGGCCGAUUAGGUAGUCGGUGGGGUAACGGCCCACCGAGCCGAUAAUUGGUACGGGGUGUGAGAGCACGAGCCCGGAGACGGAAUCUGAGACAAGAUUCCGGGCCCUACGGGGCGCAGCAGGCGCGAAAUCUUUACACUGCACGAAGGUGCGAUAAGGGGACUCCGAGUGCGAGGGCAUACAGUCCUCGCUAUUGUGUACCGUAGGGUGGUACACGACCAAGAGCUGGGCAAGACCGGUGCCAGCCGCCGCGGUAAUACCGGCAGCUCGAGUGAUGGCCGAUUUUAUUGGGCCUAAAGCGUCCGUAGCUGGCCCUGCAAGUCCGUCGGGAAAUCCACUCGCCUAACGAGUGGGCGUCCGGCGGAAACUACAGGGCUUGGGACCGGAAGACUUGAGGGGUACGUCUGGGGUAGGAGUGAAAUCCUGUAAUCCUGGACGGACCGCCGAUGGCGAAAGCACCUCAAGACGACGGAUCCGACAGUGAGGGACGAAAGCUAGGGUCUCGAACCGGAUUAGAUACCCGGGUAGUCCUAGCCGUAAACGAUGUUCGCUAGAUGUGGCACAGGCUACGUGCCUGUGCUGUGUCGUAGGGAAGCCGAGAAGCGAGCCGCCUGGGAAGUACGUCCGCAAGGAUGAAACUUAAAGGAAUUGGCGGGGGAGCACUACAACCGGAGGAGCCUGCGGUUUAAUUGGAUUCAACGCCGGG
This 933-nucleotide ribosomal RNA is filed under the name uncultured archaeon. RNAcentral describes it as "bacterial SSU rRNA". It matches the Rfam family "Archaeal small subunit ribosomal RNA", at positions 1 to 922 of the family's 1478-position model. The record is from RNAcentral.